UGGGGAAUAUUGCACAAUGGGCGCAAGCCUGAUGCAGCCAUGCCGCGUGUAUGAAGAAGGCCUUCGGGUUGUAAAGUACUUUCAGUCGGGAGGAAGGUGGUAAGGUUAAUAACCUUAUCAAUUGACGUUACCGACAGAAGAAGCACCGGCUAACUCCGUGCCAGCAGCCGCGGUAAUACGGAGGGUGCAAGCGUUAAUCGGAAUUACUGGGCGUAAAGCGCACGCAGGCGGUUGAUUGAGUCAGAUGUGAAAUCCCCGGGCUUAACCCGGGAAGUGCAUCUGAUACUGGCAAGCUUGAGUCACGUAGAGGGGGGUAGAAUUCCAGGUGUAGCGGUGAAAUGCGUAGAGAUCUGGAGGAAUACCGGUGGCGAAGGCGGCCCCCUGGACGAAGACUGACGCUCAGGUGCGAAAGCGUGGGGAGCAAACAGG
Molecule: ribosomal RNA, 429 nt
Filed under: Chloroflexota bacterium
Lineage: Bacteria; Bacillati; Chloroflexota
Description: Chloroflexi bacterium partial 16S ribosomal RNA
Rfam family: Bacterial small subunit ribosomal RNA
Source: RNAcentral